This 606-nucleotide unclassified non-coding RNA is filed under the name Angraecum leonis. RNAcentral's name for it is "sequence contains ITS1, ITS2 and 5.8S rRNA gene". The stretch from base 241 to 396 matches the Rfam family "5.8S ribosomal RNA". Lineage: Eukaryota; Viridiplantae; Streptophyta; Magnoliopsida; Asparagales; Orchidaceae. The record is from RNAcentral.
UCGAGACCGAAACAUAUCGAGCGAUUCAGAGAACCCGUGAAUAAGCGGCGACGCUCGUUGCCGUGAAACAUCCAUCCCAGUCGUCGCCCCGCCUCCUGCGGAGGGGAGGGGGCGGCGAUGAAGGACGGGUGAAACCCCAAACCGGCGCAAUUCCGCGCCAAGGGAACUAUUGAAAAACACGAGCCCCUGCAUCGGGGCUCCGUGGUGUGGAGCGGUGUUACGCACCGCACGUACUGACACGACUCUCGGCAAUGGAUAUCUCGGCUCUCGCAUCGAUGAAGAGCGCAGCGAAAUGCGAUACGUGGUGCGAAUUGCAGAAUCCCGCGAACCAUCGAGUCUUUGAACGCAAGUUGCGCCCGAGGCCAACCGGCCGAGGGCACGUCCGCCUGGGCGUCAAGCGUUGCGUCGCUCCGUGCCACGAAGGCCCGGAUGUGCAGAGUGGCCCGUCGUGCCCACCGGCGCGUCGGGCUGAAGAGCGGGCGAUCGUCUCGAUGGCGACGAACAACGAGGGGUGGAUGAAAGCUACGUCGUUGUGUCGUGCUGGCCCGAGAGAAGGUUAUACCCUCCGCGAGAUCCCAUCCAUGCGCCGGCCCUGAUGCGGCGGCU